This 89-nucleotide transfer RNA is filed under the name Palmaria palmata (dulse). Its description in RNAcentral is "tRNA-Ser". It matches the Rfam family "tRNA". From Rfam's summary of the family: Transfer RNA (tRNA) molecules are approximately 80 nucleotides in length. Their secondary structure includes four short double-helical elements and three loops (D, anti-codon, and T loops). The record is from RNAcentral. Lineage: Eukaryota; Rhodophyta; Florideophyceae; Palmariales; Palmariaceae.
GGAGAGAUGGCCGAGCGGUUUAAGGCGGUAGAUUGCUAAUCUGUUGUACGUCUUUAUAACGUACCGAGGUUCGAAUCCCUCUCUCUCCU